UAGUAAUCGCGAAUCAGAAUGUCGCGGUGAAUACGUUCCCGGGCCUUGUACACACCGCCCGUCACACCAUGAGAGCCGAUAACACCCGAAGCCUGUGAGCCAACCGUAAGGGGGCAGCAGUCGAAGGUGGGGUUGGUGAUUGGGGUGAAGUCGUAACAAGGUAGC
Molecule: ribosomal RNA, 165 nt
Filed under: uncultured bacterium
Lineage: Bacteria
Description: partial 16S ribosomal RNA
Rfam family: Bacterial small subunit ribosomal RNA
Source: RNAcentral